RNAcentral lists this ribosomal RNA (240 nucleotides) under uncultured bacterium. RNAcentral's name for it is "partial 16S ribosomal RNA". It matches the Rfam family "Bacterial small subunit ribosomal RNA", at positions 524 to 762 of the family's 1533-position model. The record is from RNAcentral.
GACGAGGGGUCCAAGCGUUGUUCGGAAUCAUUGGGCGUAAAGCGGGUGUAGGCGGCUCUAUAAGUCAGGAGUGAAAUCCCCGAGCUUAACUCGGGAAGUGCUUUUGAUACUGCAGAGCUUGGAUGGUGGGAGAGGAUAGUAGAAUUCCAGGUGUAGUGGUGAAAUACGUAGAUAUCUGGAGGAAUACCGGUGGCGAAGGCGGCUAUCUGGCCCAACAUUGACGCUGAGACCCGAAAGCGU